Molecule: ribosomal RNA, 2691 nt
Filed under: Acarospora umbilicata
Lineage: Eukaryota; Fungi; Ascomycota; Lecanoromycetes; Acarosporales; Acarosporaceae
Description: partial 18S ribosomal RNA
Rfam family: Eukaryotic small subunit ribosomal RNA (bases 1-2362)
Source: RNAcentral
AUACCGUGGUAAUUCUAGAGCUAAUACAUGCUAAAAACCUCGACUUCGGAAGGGGUGUAUUUAUUAGAUAAAAAACCAAUGCCCUUCGGGGCUCCUUGGUGAUUCAUAAUAACUCUAACGAAUCGCAUGGCCUUGCGCCGGCGAUGGUUCAUUCAAAUUUCUGCCCUAUCAACUUUCGAUGGUAGGAUAGUGGCCUACCAUGGUGUUAACGGGUAACGGGGAAUUAGGGUUCUAUUCCGGAGAGGGAGCCUGAGAAACGGCUACCACAUCCAAGGAAGGCAGCAGGCGCGCAAAUUACCCAAUCCCGACACGGGGAGGUAGUGACAAUAAAUACUGAUACAGGGCCCUUUCGGGUCUUGUAAUUGGAAUGAGUACAAUUUAAAUCCCUUAACGAGGAACAAUUGGAGGGCAAGUCUGGUGGACUGACACAGUCCCGGCAAGGGGUGUGGGCUUCGGUCCCCCUUCGCUGGCGCCAGCGACAGGCGGUCGUCCCGGGCGCUCAGGGGGCCCGGGGAGAUCGGCUUAGUGGAGGUUACCCUCCGCGAGGUGUUCGGCACGGGGAAGGGCCAUCUUGGCUUCAUCCCGUGGUCGGCAGGAACUGUACUGCCGGCCUUAACGCGCGCAAGGACGCCGGUGGACGAUGCUUUCCACUUGAGGGACGUGCUAAACCCGCCCGUCAAGGGCCUGGAGCGACCUUUUGCCAGGGCGCUCCUCCAGGGAUGAAUAGGCCAGCAGCCGCGGUAAUUCCAGCUCCAAUAGCGUAUAUUAAAGUUGUUGCAGUUAAAAAGCUCGUAGUUGAACCUUGGGCCUGGCUGGCCGGUCCGCCUCACCGCGUGCACUGGUCCGGCCGGGCCUUUCCUUCUGGGGAUCCACAUGCCCUUCACUGGGUGUGCCGGGGAACCAGGACUUUUACUUUGAAAAAAUUAGAGUGUUCAAAGCAGGCCUAUGCUCGAAUACAUUAGCAUGGAAUAAUAGAAUAGGACGUGUGGUUCUAUUUUGUUGGUUUCUAGGACCGCCGUAAUGAUUAAUAGGGAUAGUCGGGGGCAUCAGUAUUCAAUUGUCAGAGGUGAAAUUCUUGGAUUUAUUGAAGACUAACUACUGCGAAAGCAUUUGCCAAGGAUGUUUUCAUUAAUCAGUGAACGAAAGUUAGGGGAUCGAAGACGAUUUUUCCGCAGUGUCCGGUCGUCCACAGCAACGCUAGUCCGGGGGUUCUCCCCCGGGCGACACCAUUCAACUGAGGGGCCCCUGCGUCCGGGCGGUGAGAACCGAUCCGCGCAGGUCACCCACAGCCAAGUCCCAGUUCCUUCUGGGAUGCAGUCUACAGACUGAAUGAGGGUGGGCCAGGGAGUCGAAAUGGGUGCUCCUGGUUUUUGAUACAGUCGAGUCCGGCGUCUCACGGGGCCGGUACUUACGCAGAUACCGUCGUAGUCUUAACCAUAAACUAUGCCGACUAGGGAUCGGACGGUGUUACUAUUUUGACCCGUUCGGCACCUUACGAGAAAUCAAAGUCUUUGGGUUCUGGGGGGAGUAUGGUCGCAAGGCUGAAACUUAAAGAAAUUGACGGAAGGGCACCACCAGGCGUGGAGCCUGCGGCUUAAUUUGACUCAACACGGGGAAACUCACCAGGUCCAGACACAAUAAGGAUUGACAGAUUGAGAGCUCUUUCUUGAUCUUGUGGGUGGUGGUGCAUGGCCGUUCUUAGUUGGUGGAGUGAUUUGUCUGCUUAAUUGCGAUAACGAACGAGACCUUAACCUGCUAAAUAGCCAGGCUAGCUUUGGCUGGUCGCCGGCUUCUUAGAGGGACUAUCGGCUCAAGCCGAUGGAAGUUUGAGGCAAUAACAGGUCACCUUAUGGCGGUGUCCACAGGCCUGUUUCAGAGACCCUCGUGGGAUCUCUUUAAGCUCAUCAUAUAUUGUGAUGUAUGUCUGAGCAACACCACUGGUACAGCGAAAGUCUUUAAAAGACCGAUGCUGUGGCGAACCUAGAUAUUUGGAUCGUCUCAACGCGCGGCAAGUGGUGGCCCCAGCAAGGGGUUUAGGUACGUGCUUCAAUGCUCUGUGAAAACAGAUCCCUUCGCUCAAGCGUCCUCGCGAGAGCAUAGGGGGUAUUCUUUUGAUUUAAGAUGCUGCGAGUAGGCUGUGAUGCCCUUAGAUGCUCUGGGCCGCACGCGCGCUACACUGACAGAGCCAACGAGUUCAUCACCUCGGCCGAAAGGUCUGGGUAAUCUUGUUAAACUCUGUCGUGCUGGGGAUAGAGCAUUGCAAUUAUUGCUCUUCAACGAGGAAUGCCUAGUAAGCGCGAGUCAUCAGCUCGCGUUGACUAUGUCCCUGCCCUUGAACCUUCGGUGGGCAAGGGGCUCAAAGAUACCAUGUCUAGGCCGGAUCGCCCCCGCUGAUCUGACGCCUAUGCCUUCCAAAUGCGUGGAAACCCCGGUGUCCGGGGCUACCCGCAGCCAAGGCUCUUUGGAGCUGCAGUUCACAGACUAACUGAAGGCAGGUGCUUGGUCGUCGAGCACCUAAAUUAUAGUCGGACCGCCUCUUUGUCGAGGUCGGAGCAUUGUUGUACACACCGCCCGUCGCUACUACCGAUUGAAUGGCUCAGUGAGGCCUUCGGACUGGCCCAGGGAGGUCGGCAACGACCACCCAGGGCCGGAAAGUUCGUCAAACUUGGUCAUUUAGAGGAAGUAAAAGUC